This 77-nucleotide transfer RNA is filed under the name Candidatus Pelagibacter communis. RNAcentral describes it as "tRNA-Met". It matches the Rfam family "tRNA". From Rfam's summary of the family: Transfer RNA (tRNA) molecules are approximately 80 nucleotides in length. Their secondary structure includes four short double-helical elements and three loops (D, anti-codon, and T loops). Further hydrogen bonds mediate the characteristic L-shaped molecular structure. tRNAs have two regions of fundamental functional importance: the anti-codon, which is responsible for specific mRNA codon recognition, and the 3' end, to which the tRNAs corresponding amino acid is attached (by aminoacyl-tRNA synthetases). tRNAs cope with the degeneracy of the genetic code in two manners: having more than one tRNA (with a specific anti-codon) for a particular amino acid; and 'wobble' base-pairing, i.e. permitting non-standard base-pairing at the 3rd anti-codon position. RNAcentral also lists the same sequence under 37 other names. The record is from RNAcentral. Lineage: Bacteria; Pseudomonadati; Pseudomonadota; Alphaproteobacteria; Candidatus Pelagibacterales; Candidatus Pelagibacteraceae.
GGCGGGGUAGCUCAGUCGGUUAGAGCGCAGGACUCAUAAGCCUGAGGUCAGUGGUUCGAUUCCACUUCCCGCUACCA